This 383-nucleotide long non-coding RNA is filed under the name Mytilus galloprovincialis (Mediterranean mussel). Lineage: Eukaryota; Metazoa; Mollusca; Bivalvia; Mytilida; Mytilidae. The record is from RNAcentral.
UCAAUAAAUCUGGUUUGCUGUCGUUGUGACAGCCUCUUGUUUUUUUGUGUGUUUGAAUGUUCUGAAAUUAAUCAAAGUCUUAUACAUAAUAUGUAUGGGUGAACUUGCAUAAGGUCGAUUGCAAUCCAACUCAGCUCAUAAAAUGUUUAAUUGUAUUCAAGUGAUCCUAUGAGUUCGAAUUGUUCUAAGUUCAUUUAAUAAAUGAAACUAUGUAAUGAUUUCUUUUUAUCUUAUUUGUCAUAUUUUACCUUUCAAAAUCACAUUCCUUAACAUAGAUUUAUAUCCUUAUAAAAUGUUAGUAGUACAUGUACAUGAUGUAUGCUACUGUUAUUGUUAAUCAAACAAUUGUUAUGCUAAAAUUUUUAUCUAAGUAUAUUUCAGAG